Molecule: ribosomal RNA, 262 nt
Filed under: uncultured bacterium
Lineage: Bacteria
Description: partial 16S ribosomal RNA
Rfam family: Bacterial small subunit ribosomal RNA
Source: RNAcentral
UACAGAGGGUGCAAGCGUUUGUUCGGAAUUAUUGGGCGUAAAGCGCGUGUAGGCGGCUUUGCAAGUCGGGGUGUGAAAGCCCUCAGCUCAACUGAGGAAGUGCGCCCGAAACUGCAGAGCUUGAGUGCCGGAGAGGGUGGCGGAAUUCCCCAAGUAGAGGUGAAAUUCGUAGAUAUGGGGAGGAACACCGGUGGCGAAGGCGGCCACCUGGACGGUAACUGGACGCUGAGGCGCGAUAGCGUGGGGAGCAAACAGGAUAUGA